UGCGAUCUCAGUCAGGCACUCCUGAUUGGCCCAGGCCGGCGGCUGCAGUAGGAAACCCUGUGCAUUUCUUUCCCGGCGGCGGCGGUGGCAGCAGCAGCAGCCCCAACCAACAGCAGCAGCAGCCCCAACCAACAGCAGCAGCAGCCCCAACCAACAGCAGCGGCAGCCCCAACCAACAGCAGCGGCAUCUAUUUCAGGUCCCUUGGAAAGACCAGAUAAGCCAGAUGUGCCCAGAUUGUGGAUCUGUUAAUCUUCAAGCAGAGAGGAGCGGUGGCACACAGCUGAGAACCAGGUGUCAAGGUUCUUGAAAAGCAGCAUCAAGAACAGUACAUCUUCCAUCCGUGUCCUCAGCUGCUCUGUCAGAGCAAAGGACCUCCACAGGAAAAGUUUCUGCAGCACAGAGAGAGAAGAGUGGAAACACACCUCCAGUGACCCUCCUGGCAGGUCCCCCUCUUCUUACACCUAGGAUCUGCAAAGGCUGUGUGCCGUAUCUGUUGGAAUCUGAGUCACAUAGUGCCAGGGAAGAACAGAAGGAAGUCCUUCAAAAUCCAGGUGGUUACCAGGAUAAUAAAUUUUACCACAGGAAACUCAGGACACAUCUCUGGCGCUUUUCAGUCCAACGUGGCUUCCUUCCAACCCUGGCUGGAGUUGGCAGUCCAGAAACAUUAUUCUAGCCUGGGGACACAAGCCUGUUCUCUGGUCAUGACCAGCUCUGGCUGCACUGGCCAGUAGCAUCAUGCAAGACUGCCCCAAGCUGGACAGAGAAGCUUGUGGCAGUCCUAAGUACAGAUCUGUCAUGUAUUGUCCCCGUUUGCAACAGGAGACUGCAGCAGCUCUGGGUAGUUUGCAAGAGGCCCUUGGGGGCAUUGGUUUCGUUCUUGAGAGUGCUGGGUUAGGCAGAGUUGCCAAGGAGAGCCAGAAGCUUGUGCUCCCUGACACACACAGUGAGCUCCUUCUUGCUGAGAAGCAAACUAGCAGAAGUGAAGAGCCGGCCUGGAGAUGGAGAUCUCAUCCCCAAAACCAGUCUCCCUCCUGCUGAGUUCCCUGCUCUGGGUGCAGAGCCUGAUUCUCACUCCAGUGCUCAGGGAUUUUCAGUGGGGUGUGAAUUAAUGCCACAUGAAGUGUCCUGUCUUUCUCCUGAGCAGUGAAAUAGGAUCUUUAGCGUGAGUGAGAAUUGGCUCCAACGAUGCAGCAGCUGCAAAGUGAGUUCCCCUUUUAGCUGAAAUAGGUUGCAUUUUGACUAGUGCAUUUUUUUUGCUAUCCAUAUUUGCACUAGGAACUUAUAUCUAAAGAAUGUGUAUCUUCAGUGAUCAUCGGAACAGCUUCUUGGCCUGGAGGAAUCCUGCUUUUCUAACAGAGCUCCAACACAACUCUGUCAGCACCAAAAACCUGGAUGGAGAUAGGUGUCCUGGAAGGCUCUCUGACCUGUAAGGGUGCUUCAAAGCAGCGAGACACUUGCAGUUGUAAACCUGGUGCAUGUUUCAAAAGCCCAGAAACUGAGUGCUGGACUCUAAAAAUUCCAGGCUUCUUGCUUCGUACAGACUCAGCGCAGCGGGACUGUUCUUAGCACAGUGGGACUUCUAGGCCCUGGUUUCCGUCCUGAAUGACGUGAAGAGAUUAGAGCUUUGUAGGCUGGCUUUCCAACCCUGCAGGAACCAGAGCCAGGAAGAACAGCCAAACUCUGAAACUCUGUGCCCAGAGAAGAGCUCUACGUACAUGUUGGGAAUCGCCAAAGCCGAGAGCAGAUGACAAAAUCUCCCACCCUUAAAUAUAUUCUUUUCCAAAGCAAGAUGUGGUGGCCCCCUGUUUAUUUUCAUACUAUGAAAGCAAACGGGAACAUAGCCCAUAGCAGCACUACCUGUUGGUGUGUGCCAUCAUACUUCUGCCUAUCUAGUGUCCAUGUCUUUAUGAGCUUGAUCCUACAAAUCUUACCGUUGAAUUAAAUUGGGGAUUUUAUCUUUCAGUCCUGCUGAGACAGAGCUGCCCAUAUAACUAUCUAACUGGAAAAUGGUCUGGCUGACUGUGUUUCAUGGGAUUCUCUGGGCCUAUUACAGAU
Long non-coding RNA from Calidris pugnax (ruff), 2056 nucleotides. RefSeq lists it as uncharacterized. The transcript is spliced from 6 exons. Lineage: Eukaryota; Metazoa; Chordata; Aves; Charadriiformes; Scolopacidae. The record is from RefSeq and is a predicted model, not a curated record.